UGCGAAGGGGGCUAGCGUUGCUCGGAAUGACUGGGCGUAAAGGGCGCGUAGGCGGAUGGCACAGUCAGAUGUGAAAUUCCCGGGCUUAACCUGGGGGCUGCAUUUGAUACGUGUUGUCUAGAGUGAGGAAGAGGGUUGUGGAAUUCCCAGUGUAGAGGUGAAAUUCGUAGAUAUUGGGAAGAACACCGGUGGCGAAGGCGGCAACCUGGUCCUUGACUGACGCUGAGGCGCGAAAGCGUGGGGAGCAAACAGG
This 253-nucleotide ribosomal RNA is filed under the name uncultured bacterium. RNAcentral's name for it is "partial 16S ribosomal RNA". It matches the Rfam family "Bacterial small subunit ribosomal RNA", at positions 524 to 776 of the family's 1533-position model. The record is from RNAcentral.